CCUACGGGAGGCAGCAGUGGGGAAUAUUGGACAAUGGGCGCAAGCCUGAUCCAGCAAUGCCGCGUGAGUGAUGAAGGCCUUAGGGUCGUAAAGCUCUUUUACCAGGGAUGAUAAUGACAGUACCUGGAGAAUAAGCUCCGGCUAACUCCGUGCCAGCAGCCGCGGUAAUACGGAGGGAGCUAGCGUUGUUCGGAAUUACUGGGCGUAAAGCGUACGUAGGCGGUUAUUCAAGUCAGAGGUGAAAGCCCGGGGCUCAACCCCGGAACGGCCUUUGAAACUAGGUAGCUAGAAUCUUGGAGAGGUCAGUGGAAUUCCGAGUGUAGAGGUGAAAUUCGUAGAUAUUCGGAAGAACACCAGUGGCGAAGGCGACUGACUGGACAAGUAUUGACGCUGAGGUACGAAAGCGUGGGGAGCAAACAGGAUUAGAUACCCUGGUAGUCCACGCCGUAAACGAUGAUAACUAGCUGUCCGGGCACUUGGUGCCUGGGUGGCGCAGCUAACGCAUUAAGUUAUCCGCCUGGGGAGUACGGUCGCAAGAUUAAAACUUAAAGGAAUUGACGG
RNAcentral lists this ribosomal RNA (561 nucleotides) under uncultured bacterium. RNAcentral describes it as "bacterial SSU rRNA". It matches the Rfam family "Bacterial small subunit ribosomal RNA", at positions 338 to 916 of the family's 1533-position model. The record is from RNAcentral.